GACGAACGCUGGCGGCGUGCCUAAUACAUGCAAGUCGAACGCACAGUUUAUACCGUAGCUUGCUACACCAUAGACUGUGAGUUGCGAACGGGUGAGUAACGCGUAGGUAACCUGCCUGGUAGCGGGGGAUAACUAUUGGAAACGAUAGCUAAUACCGCAUAAUAUUAAUUAUUGCAUGAUAAUUAAUUGAAAGGUGCAAUUGCACCACUACCAGAUGGACCUGCGUUGUAUUAGCUAGUAGGUGAGGUAACGGCUCACCUAGGCGACGAUACAUAGCCGACCUGAGAGGGUGAUCGGCCACACUGGGACGGAGACACGGCCCAGACUCCUACGGGAGGCAGCAGUAGGGAAUCUUCGGCAAUGGACGAAAGUCUGACCGAGCAACGCCGCGUGAGUGAAGAAGGGUGUCGGAUCGUAAAGCUCUGUUGUAAGAGAAGAACGGGUGUGAGAGUGGAAAGUUCACACUGUGACGGUAGCUUACCAGAAAGGGACGGCUAACUACGUG
RNAcentral lists this ribosomal RNA (505 nucleotides) under uncultured bacterium. Its description in RNAcentral is "partial 16S ribosomal RNA". It matches the Rfam family "Bacterial small subunit ribosomal RNA", at positions 28 to 507 of the family's 1533-position model. The record is from RNAcentral.